GCGCUGCUGAGGAGCCUCAUAAUAGGACGAAACGGCCGUCCAGUGC
Molecule: non-coding RNA, 46 nt
Filed under: Schistosoma mansoni
Lineage: Eukaryota; Metazoa; Platyhelminthes; Trematoda; Strigeidida; Schistosomatidae
Source: RNAcentral